UACGUAGGGGGCGAGCGUUAUCCGGAUUCAUUGGGCGUAAAGCGCGCGUAGGCGGCCGCCUAAGCGGAACCUCUAACCCCGGGGCUCAACCUCGGGCCGGGUUCCGGACUGGGCGGCUCGAGUGCGGUAGAGGAGAGCGGAAUUCCCGGUGUAGCGGUGGAAUGCGCAGACAUCGGGAAGAACACCGAUGGCGAAGGCAGCUCUCUGGGCCGUCACUGACGCUGAGGCGCGAAAGCUGGGGGAGCGAACAGG
Molecule: ribosomal RNA, 252 nt
Filed under: uncultured bacterium
Lineage: Bacteria
Description: partial 16S ribosomal RNA
Rfam family: Bacterial small subunit ribosomal RNA
Source: RNAcentral